CCCCGCCCGCCCUCGUCCGGCAGCCGCAAGCUCCCGGGCGGGGAGGGGCGGCCCCGGUAAAGGGAGAGACGGCGCUGCCGCCGCUCCGCGCCUUGCUCGGGGCACGGAGCUGAUGAUUAACCUGCGGUUCAUUGAAUACCUACCUGGCUCAAGUCGCGCCCGGGAUGUGGUUUAACCUUGUCCGAGGUUUCGGUACCUCGGGCUUUGCCUUUCUGCCUGAGACCCUGGUGCUGCCAGUUUUGCUGCUACCGAAGCGCUGCGGGGAUGUGCAGCUCCCCGUUGAAAAUCUCUGCUGUUAAUAUCAGCCUAGACUUCACUUUACAGUCGUUUUUAGAGGUUUGAGGCUCCAGAGGUCGAGGUGAUGUGGGACUCUCGGUCUCGGCGAGCAUUUUUGCAGCAGCAGCAGCCUCGGGCUGCAGUAGCUGGCACUUGAAUCCAUGUUGGCUCCUUUUCCUCGGGCGUGAGCUGCAAGGAGCUCAGCAGCUUCGGCAUUUAGUCCCAUUUGGGGAAACGUCUGUCCUUUGUGAGGAUGCCAGUACAGUUAUAGCCACUGACACUAUACAUGACCAGAGGCUCCAGUUUCUGGCAUCUCUUUCUAUCGUCAGGAAAGUAUUUUCACACCUCAGCCAAAACUCAAACCCAAUCAUCUACUUUUUAUAUGGCAACAGUGCCUAGCAAGGUGGGGACACAUCUGUCUUGAUAGGAUGUCAUGAGAGCAUCUCCUUGCAAUUUGUUUCUCUUCCCUCAGACAAGGUGCCAGCACAGUGACUUGUUCCUUGGUAGUCAGGUAUUGAACUUCCUGCCUCAACUAGAAUGCCAAAUACUAUACUCCUAUAAAAAGUUGAAAACAUGGA
Molecule: long non-coding RNA, 854 nt
Filed under: Manacus vitellinus (golden-collared manakin)
Lineage: Eukaryota; Metazoa; Chordata; Aves; Passeriformes; Pipridae
Description: lncRNA (ENSMVIG00005001370.1)
Source: RNAcentral